GACGAACGCUGGCGGCGUGCUUAACACAUGCAAGUCGAACGGAAAGGCCCUGCUUUUGUGGGGUGCUCGAGUGGCGAACGGGUGAGUAACACGUGAGUAACCUGCCCUUGACUUUGGGAUAACUUCAGGAAACUGGGGCUAAUACCGGAUAGGAGCUCCUGCUGCAUGGUGGGGGUUGGAAAGUUUCGGCGGUUGGGGAUGGACUCGCGGCUUAUCAGCUUGUUGGUGGGGUAGUGGCUUACCAAGGCUUUGACGGGUAGCCGGCCUGAGAGGGUGACCGGCCAAAUUGGGACUGAGAUACGGCCCAGACUCCUACGGGAGGGAGGGGUGGGGAAUAUUGCACAAUGGGCGGAAGCCUGAUGCAGCAACGCCGCGUGCGGGAUGACGGCCUUCGGGUUGUAAACCGCUUUCGCCUGUGACGAAGCGUGAGUGACGGUAAUGGGUAAAGAAGCACCGGCUAACUACGUG
This 468-nucleotide ribosomal RNA is filed under the name uncultured bacterium. RNAcentral describes it as "partial 16S ribosomal RNA". It matches the Rfam family "Bacterial small subunit ribosomal RNA", at positions 28 to 507 of the family's 1533-position model. The record is from RNAcentral.